UACGUAGGGUCCGAGCGUUGUCCGGAAUUACUGGGCGUAAAGAGCUCGUAGGUGGUUUGUCGCGUUGUUCGUGAAAACUCACAGCUCAACUGUGGGCGUGCGGGCGAUACGGGCAGACUGGAGUACUGCAGGGGAGACUGGAAUUCCUGGUGUAGCGGUGGAAUGCGCAGAUAUCAGGAGGAACACCGGUGGCGAAGGCGGGUCUCUGGGCAGUAACUGACGCUGAGGAGCGAAAGCGUGGGGAGCGAACGGG
RNAcentral lists this ribosomal RNA (253 nucleotides) under uncultured bacterium. RNAcentral describes it as "partial 16S ribosomal RNA". It matches the Rfam family "Bacterial small subunit ribosomal RNA", at positions 524 to 776 of the family's 1533-position model. The record is from RNAcentral.